RNAcentral lists this ribosomal RNA (584 nucleotides) under uncultured bacterium. RNAcentral's name for it is "partial 16S ribosomal RNA". It matches the Rfam family "Bacterial small subunit ribosomal RNA", at positions 355 to 932 of the family's 1533-position model. The record is from RNAcentral.
UGGGGAAUUUUGGACAAUGGGCGAAAGCCUGAUCCAGCAAUGCCGCGUGUGUGAAGAAGGCCUUCGGGUUGUAAAGCACUUUUGUCCGGAAAGAAAUCCUUGGCUCUAAUACAGUCGGGGGAUGACGGUACCGGAAGAAUAAGCACCGGCUAACUACGUGCCAGCAGCCGCGGUAAUACGUAGGGUGCAAGCGUUAAUCGGAAUUACUGGGCGUAAAGCGUGCGCAGGCGGUUUGCUAAGACCGAUGUGAAAUCCCCGGGCUCAACCUGGGAACUGCAUUGGUGACUGGCAGGCUAGAGUAUGGCAGAGGGGGGUAGAAUUCCACGUGUAGCAGUGAAAUGCGUAGAGAUGUGGAGGAAUACCGAUGGCGAAGGCAGCCCCCUGGGCCAAAUACUGACGCUCAUGCACGAAAAGCGUGGGGAGCAAAACAGGAUUAGAUACCCUGGUAGUCCACGCCCUAAAACGAUGUCAACUAGUUGUUGGGGAUUCAUUUCCUUAGUAACGUAGCUAACGCGUGAAGUUGACCGCCUGGGGGAGUACGGUCGCAAGAUUAAAACUCAAAUGAAUUGACGGGGUCAUAGCUG